RNAcentral lists this ribosomal RNA (1467 nucleotides) under Triticum aestivum (bread wheat). Its description in RNAcentral is "partial small subunit ribosomal RNA". The record is from RNAcentral. Lineage: Eukaryota; Viridiplantae; Streptophyta; Magnoliopsida; Poales; Poaceae.
AUGGCCGGCGCGGCGCCUCACGUCAUGGUGCUGCCGUUCCCGGCGCAGGGCCACGUCACCCCGCUCAUGGAGCUGUCGCACCGCCUCGUCGACCACGGCCUUCGGGUCACCUUCGUCUGCACCGAGCCCAUCCGCAAGCUUCUUCUCGAUGCCCUCGCCGACAACAAGAAGGCGCUGGACGGCAUCCGCCUCGUCUCCGUACCGGACGGUCUGGCCGACGGCGACAGCCACAGGGACCUAGGCAAGGUCCUGGCGGGGGUCUUGGGGCGCGUGCCGGGCUACGUGGAGGAGCUCAUCAGGAAGGCGGAGGCGUCCGAGGAGAAGAAGGUGCGGUGGCUCGUCGCCGACGCCACCAUGGCGUGCUGCUUCCAGGCCGCGAGGAGUCUCGGCGUCCGGGUCGCUUCCGUCUGCCCGUCGUCCGCGGCGUGCCUUGUCACGUCGCUUAGGAUUCCCCAGCUCAUACAGGAUGGUUUCUUCGACGACAAAGGCUUCCCGAAGAGACACGGGACGUUCGAGCUCGCCCCCGGUAUGCCGCCACUCCGUCCGACGCAAAUGACAUGGAACAUCGACGGCGCCCUCGAAGGACGUCGGGCAGCUUUCGAACUGGCGUUCGGGAUUGCUCAGGUGACCGACCUCGCUGAGAUAGUCAUGUGCAACUCGUUCCACGAGGCCGAGACCGGGGCGUUCGAGCUGUGCCCGGACAUAAUGCCCAUCGGCCCGCUGUUCGCCGACCAGGAGCUCCGGAAGCCCGUCGGGCAGUUCUGGCCGGAGGACGCGAGCUGCUUGGAAUGGCUGGACGCGCAGCCCGAAGGCUCCGUCGUGUACGUGGCGUUCGGCAGCUUCACCAUCUUCGACCCGCGGCAGUUCCGGGAGCUGGCCGAGGGGCUGGAGCUCACCGGCCGGCCGUUCCUGUGGGUGGUGCGCCCGGACUUCACCUCCGGCGGCCUCAGCAAGGCGUGGUUCGACGAGUUCCAGAAGCGCGUCGCCGGCAUCGGGAUGAUCGUCAGCUGGUGCCCCCAGCAGCAGGUGCGCACGCGGUGCACUGCCAAGAACUGUAGCAUCAUGUCAUGCGUUUUGGGGUCCAGCCAUGAUCUCCAUGCUAUCUCGACGGACAUGCAGGUUCUGGCGCAUCCCGCGGUGGCAUGCUUCGUGUCGCACUGCGGUUGGAACUCGACGAUGGAGGGGGUGAGGAACGGCGUGCCCAUCGUGUGCUGGCCCUACUUCUCCGACCAGUUCGCGAACCAGAGCUACAUUUGCGACAUUUGGAGGACUGGUUUGGACGUGACACAUGGAGACGAUGGCGUCGUGACCAAGGAGGAGGUGAAGGACAAACUGGAACGGCUCACCGGCGACAAGGGGAUUGCGGAGAGGGCGCGAAUGCUCAGGGAUGCAGCUCGCAAGAGCGUCAACGAGGGAGGUUCCUCGUACGAGAAUUUCAAGAGAUUUGUUGAUCUCCUGACGGAGUGA